Long non-coding RNA from Eurytemora carolleeae, 244 nucleotides. RefSeq lists it as uncharacterized. The transcript has 3 exons. Lineage: Eukaryota; Metazoa; Arthropoda; Copepoda; Calanoida; Temoridae. The record is from RefSeq and is a predicted model, not a curated record.
GAAUUACUCCAUGAGUCCUGAUACUCUGCCCGAAGAGAUCAAUAUAUAUGAUGGAGUUAAUAAUAGAAUAACUUUUCGAAGGGUCUACACUAAAACUUUUAAGUGUGUUUACCAGCUACAGAUGUUUCCAUUUGACUCGCAAACUUGUACUGUCAACAUGAACCUUAGGGAGUUGGAUAGGUCAGCUGUAAAUAUUUCUCCAGGACAGUUAAAAAUGGAGGGGGACACAGUUCUUACACAGGAA